RNAcentral lists this ribosomal RNA (461 nucleotides) under uncultured bacterium. RNAcentral describes it as "bacterial SSU rRNA". It matches the Rfam family "Bacterial small subunit ribosomal RNA", at positions 29 to 524 of the family's 1533-position model. The record is from RNAcentral.
AACGAACGCUGGCGGCAUGCCUAACACAUGCAAGUCGAACGGGAUCCUGGCUUCGGUCAGGUGAGAGUGGCGGACGGGUGAGUAACGCGUGGGAACCUGCCCAGUGGUGGGGGAUAACUGCGGGAAACUGCAGCUAAUACCGCAUGAGCCCGAGAGGGGAAAGAUUUAUCGCCAUUGGAGGGGCCCGCGUUCGAUUAGGUAGUUGGUGAGGUAACGGCUCACCAAGCCGACGAUCGAUAGCUGGUCUGAGAGGAUGAUCAGCCACACUGGGACUGAGAUACGGCCCAGACUCCUACGGGAGGCAGCAGUGGGGAAUAUUGGACAAUGGGGGGCAACCCUGAUCCAGCAAUGCCGCGUGAGUGAUGAAGGCCUUCGGGUUGUAAAGCUCUUUGGUCGGGGACGAUGAUGACGGUACCGCCAGAAUAAGCCCCGGCUAACUUCGUGCCAGCAGCCGCGGUAAU